Molecule: ribosomal RNA, 463 nt
Filed under: uncultured Bacteroidota bacterium
Lineage: Bacteria; Pseudomonadati; Bacteroidota
Description: bacterial SSU rRNA
Rfam family: Bacterial small subunit ribosomal RNA
Source: RNAcentral
AACGCUAGCGGCAGGCCUAACACAUGCAAGUCGAGGGGUAACGGGGAAAAGCUUGCUUUUCCGCUGACGACCGGCGCACGGGUGCGUAACGCGUAUGCAACCUACCUUUUACAGGAGUAUAGCCCAGAGAAAUUUGGAUUAAUCCUCCAUAAUAUCUUUUUCUUGCAUAAGACAAAGAUUAAAGCUUCGGUGGUAAAAGAUGGGCAUGCGUUUUAUUAGCUAGUAGGUGAGGUAACGGCUCACCUAGGCCACGAUAAAUAGGGGCCCUGAGAGGGGGAUCCCCCACACUGGUACUGAGACACGGACCAGACUCCUACGGGAGGCAGCAGUGAGGAAUAUUGGACAAUGGACGAAAGUCUGAUCCAGCCAUGCCGCGUGCAGGAUGACGGCCUUAUGGGUUGUAAACUGCUUUUAUACAGGAAGAAACACUCCCACGUGUGGGGGCUUGACGGUACUGUACGAA